This 406-nucleotide ribosomal RNA is filed under the name uncultured bacterium. RNAcentral describes it as "partial 16S ribosomal RNA". It matches the Rfam family "Bacterial small subunit ribosomal RNA", at positions 30 to 526 of the family's 1533-position model. The record is from RNAcentral.
AUUGAACGCUGGCGGCAGGCCUAACACAUGCAAGUCGAGCGAGUGGCGGACGGGUGAGUAAUGUCUGGGGAUCUGCCCGAUAGAGGGGGAUAACUACUGGAAACGGUGGCUAAUACCGCAUACUAUCGGAUGUACCCAUAUGGGAUUAGCUAGUAGGUGGGGUAACGGCUCACCUAGGCGACGAUCGCUAGCUGGUCUGAGAGGAUGACCAGCCACACUGGGACUGAGACACGGCCCAGACUCCUACGGGAGGCAGCAGUGGGGAAUAUUGCACAAUGGGCGCAAGCCUGAUGCAGCCAUGCCGCGUGGAUGAAGAAGGCCUUAGGGUUGUAAAGUACUUUCAGCGGGGAGGCGUUACCCGCAGAAGAAGCACCGGCUAACUCCGUGCCAGCCGUCGCGGUAAUAC